Molecule: long non-coding RNA, 546 nt
Organism: Pantherophis guttatus
Lineage: Eukaryota; Metazoa; Chordata; Lepidosauria; Squamata; Colubridae
Source: RefSeq, a predicted model, not a curated record
CCUCCCCUUCAAGCGGUGAGCUGCAUCUUCGGAGCAAAAAGAUAUAAUCGCUUCCGUUUCGUACACAGCGACCUUUGUGUCUUAGCACCUACGUGUUUCCGCAUUUUACGCGACCCCCGUCUCCCUCCGUUUCUCUCGCUUUCAAGUUUUAAUCGCUGCUUUCCUCAUUUAGAGAUUGGAGUUUCCAUUCUGCAGGCCUUUUUUAGCCGAACACAAGGUCGUGGGGGAAUUGGGGAAUCCAAGGUCACUGUGCCUGUAGAAGUUACAAGAGUGACAUGUCUGGUGUUAUGCGCUCCUGUACUUGUUUCUUAGUCACCUUUGCUGUCAAAGGAAUAUUCAUCAGCCUUCUCCAAAAUCAGUUUCUGGAUAUCAUUGUUGAAGACAGCCUUUGGCAAGGAAUGUGAUCCUUUUGAUGCAGGAGCUUAGCUGCUUUAACAGAUCAAAGCAGAAGACAUUGUAGAAGUCUCCAUUCAAGAAAUAGAAUAUAGUAACUUGAAGUUCACUGAAUAAACUCAACUUGGCAAACAGUUUCUCCUUGCAAACAAC